AACGAACGCUGGCGGCAUGCCUAACACAUGCAAGUCGAACGAACCCUUCGGGGUUAGUGGCGCACGGGUGCGUAACACGUGGGAAUCUGCCCUUUGCUUCGGAAUAACAGUUAGAAAUGACUGCUAAUACCGGAUAAUGUCGCAAGACCAAAGAUUUAUCGGCAAAGGAUGAGCCCGCGUAGGAUUAGCUAGUUGGUGGGGUAAAAGCUCACCAAGGCGACGAUCCUUAGCUGGUCUGAGAGGAUGAUCAGCCACACUGGGACUGAGACACGGCCCAGACUCCUACGGGAGGCAGCAGUGGGAAUAUUGGACAAUGGGCGAAAGCCUGAUCCAGCAAUGCCGCGUGAGUGAUGAAGGCCUUAGGGUUGUAAAGCUCUUUUACCAGGGAUGAUAAUGACAGUACCUGGAGAAUAAGCUCCGGCUAACUCCGUGCCAGCAGCCGCGGU
This 446-nucleotide ribosomal RNA is filed under the name uncultured bacterium. Its description in RNAcentral is "bacterial SSU rRNA". It matches the Rfam family "Bacterial small subunit ribosomal RNA", at positions 29 to 521 of the family's 1533-position model. The record is from RNAcentral.